UAAUACGGGGGGGGCAAGCGUUGUUCGGAAUUACUGGGCGUAAAGGGCUCGUAGGCGGCCAACUAAGUCGGACGUGAAAUCCCUCGGCUCAACCGGGGAACUGCGUCCGAUACUGGAUGGCUUGAAUCCGGGAGAGGGAUGCGGAAUUCCAGGUGUAGCGGUGAAAUGCGUAGAUAUCUGGAGGAACACCGGUGGCGAAGGCGGCAUCCUGGACCGGUAUUGACGCUGAGGAGCGAAAGCCAGGGUAGCAAACGGG
RNAcentral lists this ribosomal RNA (256 nucleotides) under uncultured bacterium. Its description in RNAcentral is "partial 16S ribosomal RNA". It matches the Rfam family "Bacterial small subunit ribosomal RNA", at positions 521 to 776 of the family's 1533-position model. The record is from RNAcentral.